RNAcentral lists this unclassified non-coding RNA (371 nucleotides) under uncultured Actinomycetes bacterium. RNAcentral's name for it is "uncultured actinobacterium contains 16S-23S intergenic spacer region". Lineage: Bacteria; Bacillati; Actinomycetota; Actinomycetes. The record is from RNAcentral.
UCCGAGUUGUCCCCGGCAGUCUCCUUAGAGUCCCCGCCAUUACGCGCUGGCAACUAAGGACAGGGGUUGCGCUCGUUGCGGCACUUAAGCCAACACCUCACGGCACGAGCUGACGACAGCCAUGCAGCACCUGUGCUGGCCCCUUACGGAGCCCUGCUUUCACAGGGUUUAACCAGCAUGUCAAGCCCAGGUAAGGUUCUUCGCGUUGCAUCGAAUUAAGCCACAUGCUCCACCGCUUGUGCGGGCCCCCGCCAAUUCCUUUGAGUUUCAACCUUGCGGCCGUAGUUCCCAGGCGGUUCACUUAAUGCGUUAGCUGCGGCACCGAGGUGAAACCCCGACACCUAGUGCCCAACGUUUACGGCGUGGACUAC